Molecule: ribosomal RNA, 113 nt
Filed under: Panthera tigris altaica (Amur tiger)
Lineage: Eukaryota; Metazoa; Chordata; Mammalia; Carnivora; Felidae
Source: RNAcentral
GACAUUUGGUAGAGACUGUUGAAGCCACCUGGUCCCAGCAGACCCCAGAAAGCGGCCGCAUUCACUGGUGCUGGAACAAGGUCUUUGGGGAUGAAGCCUGGUGCCAGAUGUGU